This 460-nucleotide ribosomal RNA is filed under the name uncultured bacterium. Its description in RNAcentral is "partial 16S ribosomal RNA". It matches the Rfam family "Bacterial small subunit ribosomal RNA", at positions 338 to 795 of the family's 1533-position model. The record is from RNAcentral.
CCUACGGGGGGCAGCAGUGAGGAAUAUUGGUCAAUGGGCGCGAGCCUGAACCAGCCAAGCAGCGUGAAGGAUGACUGCCCUACGGGUUGUAAACUUCUUUUAUAAAGGAAUAAAACGAGGCACGUGUGCCUUUUUGCAUGUACUUUAUGAAUAAGGAUCGGCUCACUGCGUGCCAGCAGCCGCGGUAAUACGGAGGAACCGGGCGUUAUCCGGAUUUAUUGGGUUUAAGGGGCGCGUAGAUGGGUGGUUAAGUCAGUUGUGAAAGUUUGCGGCUCAACCGUAAAAUUGCAAUUGAUACUGGCAGGCUUGAGUACAGGUGAGGUAGGCGGAAUUCGUGGUGUAGCGGUGAAAUGCUUAGAUAUCACGAAGAACCCCGAUUGCGAAGGCAGCUUACUAAACUGUGACUGACAUUGAUGCUCGAAAGUGUGGGUAGCAAACAGGAUUAGAUACCCUUGUAGUC